CAACGCCGCGUGGGGGAGUGAAGCUUUCUCGGAGUGUAAACCCCUUUCGACCCGGUAAGAAUGCCCGCAAGGGUUUGACGGUACGGGUAUAAGAAGCCCCGGCUAACUACGUGC
Molecule: ribosomal RNA, 114 nt
Filed under: uncultured bacterium
Lineage: Bacteria
Description: partial 16S ribosomal RNA
Rfam family: Bacterial small subunit ribosomal RNA
Source: RNAcentral